AUGUGGAUUAAUCCGGUAUGGUUUUUCUCUUCAUUUUUAGCUCGUUAUCGGCAUGUGGAUAAAUCUGGUAUGGUGGUCUCUUUGUGGGGGCAAGUGCUCAUAUGCGGCGCCGGCGUCUCCGCCACACCGGCACCGGCACGGGCGCUGGCACGGGCGCUGGCAGAGGACAAACUAUGUGUCGGCGUAAGCACCAAGAGUGCAAAGACGGCCUGCGUCGCCAACGCCGCACUGACGUGCUUCGCCAUCAACACCGUCACCGGGGAGUCUACCUUCCAGCCAUGCUUCCUCGGUGCCGUCCUGCAGGACAAGUGCUUGGCCAAGGACAAGGAGGCCAAGAAGGAGGACCACUGCAUCGGCGUAGAGAUCAGCGACGAACUACUGCCAUGCGUUGGGCAUUUCGCCUGGAAGUGCCACGCCAGCAUCUUCGUGUACGCUCCUACAUUCCGCAUGUGCUUCUACCGCGCCAUCACCGCCAACUGCCUCCUCCCCUGA
This 492-nucleotide ribosomal RNA is filed under the name Triticum aestivum (bread wheat). RNAcentral describes it as "partial small subunit ribosomal RNA". Lineage: Eukaryota; Viridiplantae; Streptophyta; Magnoliopsida; Poales; Poaceae. The record is from RNAcentral.